UGGGGAAUAUUGGGCAAUGGGCGAAAGCCUGACCCAGCGACACCGCGUGGGUGAUGAAAGCCUUCGGGUUGUAAAGCCCUUUCGUGCGGAAAGAACUGUUCCGCGGUUAAUACCCGCGGAAUUUGACGGUACCGCAGGAAGAAGCACCGGCUAACUCCGUGCCAGCAGCCGCGGUAAUACGGAGGGUGCGAGCGUUGUUCGGAAUUAUUGGGCGUAAAGGGCGCGUAGGCGGUUGUGUAAGUCAGAUGUGAAAUACUCCGGCUUAACCGGGGAACUGCGUUUGAAACUACACAGCUAGAGUACAGGAGAGGGAAAUGGAAUUCCCGGUGUAGAGGUGAAAUUCGUAGAUAUCGGGAGGAACACCAGUGGCGAAGGCGAUUUCUGGCCUGAUACUGACGC
This 399-nucleotide ribosomal RNA is filed under the name uncultured bacterium. RNAcentral's name for it is "bacterial SSU rRNA". It matches the Rfam family "Bacterial small subunit ribosomal RNA", at positions 355 to 746 of the family's 1533-position model. The record is from RNAcentral.